GCGCCCUUAGCUCAAUGGAUAGAGCAUCAGUCUUCGAAACUGAGGGUUGGGGGUUCGAAUCCCUCAGGGCGUA
RNAcentral lists this transfer RNA (73 nucleotides) under Chloroflexota bacterium. Its description in RNAcentral is "Chloroflexi bacterium tRNA-Arg". It matches the Rfam family "tRNA". Rfam says of the family: Transfer RNA (tRNA) molecules are approximately 80 nucleotides in length. RNAcentral also lists the same sequence under 1 other name. The record is from RNAcentral. Lineage: Bacteria; Bacillati; Chloroflexota.